Molecule: ribosomal RNA, 2549 nt
Filed under: Triticum aestivum (bread wheat)
Lineage: Eukaryota; Viridiplantae; Streptophyta; Magnoliopsida; Poales; Poaceae
Description: partial small subunit ribosomal RNA
Source: RNAcentral
GUUUCCUGGGUGUUAAAAGAAGUUCCUACAAGGUACCCACGACACCAGCCCAACGGUAUCGUACCGAGGAGUUGGAGAUUGGCGGCGAUUAAAAGAUGAGGGAAGACGUCACGGUAAAUAUCGAGGGCCCAAGAGAGGAGAGCGAAGCAGUCAGGUUUUGGGGCUCUUGGAAAGAGAGAGGAGAGAGAGAGAGAGAGGGCAGCUGAGAGAGGGGAGAGAGAGAGAGAUCUUGGCGUCCUUGUACCACGUUGUCGUGUCUUAGAUGCAGCACGUCAAGCUGUUCCCCCUCGGACUAGUACUCCUCGACAGUACGUUCCGGAGCGGCGGGUUCCCGCCGCCGGCGGCCUAGUACAUGAUGAUGGUACUGAUGCCGUGGCCUCCGCGGCGGCCGUUCUUGCCGUUCGGCCGGUUCCCGUCCCGCGAGUCGGACUCGCCGAAGAAGCCGAACGAGGAGUAGACGGAAAAGCCGGACCGGUGCGAGGAGCGCCGAGGCCCGCGGAAGAAGAGGAAGCGCGCGUGGCCGCCGCGCCGCCGCCGGUGCGUCGUCGUCGUCUCGCUCGCCACGAGGCCCUAGCCGUUGCUGUGGGACACGACGCUGGCGAGCAGCUCCGCGCGCCUAUACACGAAGCGCGCGCCGCUGGACGCGUACGUGAGCCGCUCGCGCAGCAAGGUCGAGCACAGGAGGCGGCCCGCUGGCCGCCACCUCCUCCUCCUCGCCUAUGCCGGCAUGUGCGCGUUCACCCUCCGCGUGCACUACUUCUGGUAGCUGCUCCACGCGAAGGUGGCGCACAGGCGGCCGCUGCGGCGCGCGACGCUGCACGCCGUGCUGUACGGCCGGCACGACGAGAGGUGCCCGCCCAAGUGCCCGUUGCACAUGGUGCUCAAGUUGCUGCCGGAGGAGGGCUACAAGCACUGCCGCCCGGUGGAGGUCGCGGCGCACCACAAGCAGUAGCAGCUCAUGGUGCUGACCACCUACUGGUUCAUGCCGCUGCAGCACAGGGCCGACAGCCGCAAGGGCGGGUAGCUGAAGUGGCGGCUAGCGGCGCACGUGACGAAGGGGCUCCACUAGCGGCCGGAGGCGUAGGUGCCGCUCGAGUGGCACCUGGGGCGGUUCUGGGGGCUCCCGGCCUCGUAGGCGCUGAAGGCCGCGGAGGAGCUGCUGCGGAUGGCGGGGGCGUAGUUGAUGGACCUCGCGUACCUCGCGUUCCGGCGGGCGUUCGUUGCGGCGCGGUCGCCGCGGCGGCGGUGCUUCGAGCGGGAGGGCUUGUUCGUGGACCGCCGCGGCCGCCUCUCCGGCUUCGACCACUAGCACAGCUCCUGCCCCAGGGCGCACUAGCUCUUGCUCCUCCUCGACUUCCGCGACCGGCGCCUGCACCCCAAGCUGCACGCGCACCAGGCCGGCCUCGCCUCGUGCCUCUACACGUUCUAUAUGGCGCUGGACUUGCGCUCGCUGCGCUACCACCCGCACGUGCCGCGGCGGUACUGCGUGAAGGACAAGUACGCGGGGCCGUUCCACAAGUAGGUCCACCACGGCGACCCGUGCCUGACCCGCCGUUUGCUCAUGAUGCCGCUCGGCCGCCGCGCGGAGCCGGACGCCAUGCAGCCCAUGUUCUAGGACGGCCUCCUCUCGAGGGACCGGGCGCUCAUGGGGCGCCCGGUGGGGCACGACUGCCUGGGGCGGCCGCACCGCGUCGCGCCGACCCUGCACUGGUUCUUCCACAUGGACCUGGCCGUCUUGCACGCCGAGCUGGACCGCGCCAAGGCCCUUCUCGACCAGCGCCGGGUGGCCAUGGAGCAGCGGCCGUUCGCCUUCCCGGCCGGCUUUUCGUCUCGAGAACGCUACACUAGCCGGCUAUAUUAGCAGAGGCAAUUGUUUGUAGGGCAUAUCGUCAUAUGGUAUCUAGUUUUAAAUGUCUGUGGAAAAGAGGAGAAGAGAGUCAAGGACAGUCAAUGUCAAUGUCGUCGAUUGAAGUAUGGACUGGUAAGUAAAGUAAUCUAACAAUGAGUACACAACCACUACACGGGCACUAGCUAGCUACGACCAAAUGUACGACUACACUUAUAUACGGGUUAUUUCUUCCUAAGUCAAUGUUAAAACGCAGCACUGUCACUCGCCUCCUUCUAAGGACGCACGUUCAUCGUCCCGCGGUCUCCGUCUCGUGGCCGGCCAACCACCACGAACGUCCCGUGCUUGACAUUUGGCGGACGACAAUGUGGUGCUCCUAGGUAGACUUUGCAUACGUCUCCGUCGGUCCCUCCAGUCCAAUCCGUCCCUCUACAAGGCACAAAGGAUGGGGUCUAAGGUUAGGUUAGGGUCGCAUACGGCUAGUUAGCUAGCAACUAGCAGCUACACCACACCAACAAGACCUACCCAACCAACCUUGUAUGAUCAGCCGAAAGCAAUUCGCAGUUAUUUCGUGACUAUUAAUCACCUGGCUAUUUCGAUAUAGUGGUGGUCGUCACGAGUCCCUACCGCUGACGCCGACGUCCACGCACAUAUAAGGAUGAGGCCGAAGGAAAAGAUGACGACGGUGACUUCUGACUUGCCG